Molecule: long non-coding RNA, 1194 nt
Filed under: Homo sapiens (human)
Lineage: Eukaryota; Metazoa; Chordata; Mammalia; Primates; Hominidae
Description: HSALNT0197842
Source: RNAcentral
CCUGGGGCGCGGCAGGACGCGGGGCAGCCUUGCGCGAAGGGGCGUUUUCGUGGAGCCACCUGCCGCGCCACGCUCCAGUCCCGUCACUUGUGCUCGCGAGCGCCGGUGCGCGCAGGUGCGGGCGGGGUUGUGGGGACGCCGGGAGGGCGGCGCGGUACUUUCCAGAAGGUUCCGCACCGGAAGCGCCUGCCGAGGCCGGAGGCUGGGUGCAGGGGCGGAGACGCGGAGAACUUGGGAUCCUGGUUUAAGGGAGCUGGGAAGCUGCCGCAGGGGGACCAGCGCUCCCUGGGUGGACCGACCCCACCGCUUACCCAUUGCUGGACGCCUGCGUGCACCGACCCCACCGCUUACCCAUUGCUGGACGCUUGCCCUGUUGCCAUCUCCUCGCUAGCGUGAACAGUGCUGCGUGCAGAUCUCUCUUUCAUUGAUUGUUUUGCGUCUGUACCCAGAAGUGGGAUUGCUGGACCAUCUCUGCCCAUUUUAAAAUUGGGAAAUGACAUGAUCUGAUUUAAGCUAUUUAAAAAUCACUUGGGCCUGGGCUCGGUGGCUCACGCGUGUAAUCACAACACUUUGGGAAGCCGAGACAGGCGGAUCACCUGAGGUCAGAAGUUUGAGACCAGCCUGGCCAACAUGGUGAAACCCGGUCUCUACUAAAAAUACAAAAAUUAGCCGGGCACGGUGGCUCCAGCCUGUAAUACCAGCUACUCAGGAGGCUGAGGCAGGAGAGUUGCUUGAACCCAGGAAGCGGAGGUUGCAGUGAGCUGAGAUUGCCUCACUGCACUCCAGCCUGGGCAACAGAGUGAAACAAUGUCUCAAAAAAAUAAAAAUAAAAAAACUGAAUGGUUCCACAGAAAUACUGAGACUUCUGCUUAAACAGGCUUUCUUGAACCUGUACGCUUCCAGUUGGGUCUGCUGCUUCCAGAAAUGAGGUCUCGCUGUGUUGCCCAGGCUGGUCUCAAAUUCCUGGCCUCAAGCAAUCUUCCUGCCUCGGCCUCCCAAAGUACUGGGAUGACAGGCAUGAGCCACCACGACCAGAUGCAUGGUAAAUUUUGUGUUUUAUGUAUCGUACCACACACACGAAAAUUUAAAAAACAUCUGGCUAUGCAUGUCUUUCAAAGCAACAGCAAUUGUUCUGAGAGAUUAAAGUCACCAUUGAAGAACCUGCAUUAUCGUUUAUUGUGAUCCUAAUUCGGU